AGCGAACGCUGGCGGCAGGCUUAACAUAUGCAAGUCGAGCGGGCACUUUCGGGUGUCAGCGGCGGACGGGUGAGUAACGCGUGGGAACGUGCCCUCUGGUUCGGAAUAACUCAGGGAAACUUGAGCUAAUACCGGAUACGCCCUUUUGGGGAAAGGCUUGCUGCCGGAGGAUCGGCCCGCGUCUGAUUAGCUAGUUGGUGAGGUAACGGCUCACCAAGGCGACGAUCAGUAGCUGGUCUGAGAGGAUGAUCAGCCACACUGGGACUGAGACACGGCCCAGACUCCUGCGGGAGGCAGCAGUGGGGAAUAUUGGACAAUGGGCGCAAGCCUGAUCCAGCCAUGCCGCGUGAGUGAUGAAGGCCUUAGGGUUGUAAAGCUCUUUUAUCCGGGACGAUAAUGACGGUACCGGAGGAAUAAGCCCCGGCUAACUUCGUG
RNAcentral lists this ribosomal RNA (435 nucleotides) under uncultured bacterium. RNAcentral's name for it is "partial 16S ribosomal RNA". It matches the Rfam family "Bacterial small subunit ribosomal RNA", at positions 29 to 507 of the family's 1533-position model. The record is from RNAcentral.